Molecule: long non-coding RNA, 1177 nt
Organism: Hyaena hyaena (striped hyena)
Lineage: Eukaryota; Metazoa; Chordata; Mammalia; Carnivora; Hyaenidae
Exons: 5
Source: RefSeq, a predicted model, not a curated record
UGCUCAGGCAAUCCACGGCAGCUGCUCUCCAAAUGUCAGCGCCAGCCCGGUCCAAAGAGCUUGAAAGGCACCAAGCUGGAGGACUUUGUUCUGUACCUUUCUCGCCCACAUUUUCCCCAAGCACUCCCAGGAACCUGGCAACAGGCAGCCGUACUCUCUCGAGUGCCGCCUUGUGGCCAAGCUCGGAACAUCAGCGAUGUACUUUGAACUCCGCGGCUCGGCUCCAAGGCUGAAUGCCACUCGCACAAAAGAACUCCUGUUGACAUCUCAUUUACAAUCUCCCCCAGGACACCGACAAGACCAUUUCAAUAAACCCGGCUCAGAAACACCUAUUGUUCUAAAUCUUCAACGAGCAACAGGCUUCCACCACAACCUAUUGUUUUGUAAAAUAAAGGAUUUAGAAGGAGAAGGAUUGAGACUGGGGACGCCAUGAAAAGAGGAAGGAAAAAAGUCCCUUUGACCCGAUGCUGUCAGAGAGCGUGCAAGAAGAAUGAAGUUAAUGGAUUUCCAUUUUUAUAAGAAGUGUGUAAGAAACGCCUGUUAUGUUUCUGAACUGGUGAUGGAGAAUUCUAAAUUUGCUGCCAACUUGGUACGUGGAGAAGCAAACCCCUGCCCACGGGUUUGCUAACUGAAAAGCCGCAGGCUAUACUUACCCUAUUCUCAGCCUGACCAAAGUUCUGAUAACCCCAGUAGCGGAGCACCAGGUUUCCGUGUGCAUCCAGAUCCGUGUAGAUUCUGGGCAACAGGAGAAAAACGAGUUUGGUUUGCCAGGAUACUUUGAGAAAUCCUCUUCUAAUUGGUCUCACCAGGAUCUCAGUGCUGUUGACUUUUGCAAGCAGCCACGACUUUUGGGAAGGUUAGCCCCUUCCCAGAUUUGGAGGCUGAAUCUUCAUUGAAGGGAAGACCGAUGGGAAUGCUUCUUGGAAGGAUUACCUCCCUGGUUAAAGCCACACAAGUUGGGGACAUCCCUUUUCUUCCUCUGGAUUUUGGCAUCACCAAGAGAUACCCUGAGCUGUGGCUGCCAUCUGGGGACCACAAAGAGCAUCUGGCUGAGAAGACAAGCCACAGUGAAGAUGAUGGGUGGAAAGAUGGCAGGAAGCUGGUUUGAAUGUAUUCAUUGGCCGCCUUACCUCUAGAUUUGCUGUUAUUUGAGAAAAUGAAUGCCUUUCCCACCUGA